AUGAUUCUAAGAUCUAUAAUUAAGUAUGAAUCACCAUAAACAAGAUUUAAAGCUUACCUAAGCAUCGUGAUUCAAGUUUUGCGUGUUUUGCGUCCUUUCCGAUUCUUCGAAGUCUUGGAUUCUUCGAUCUUCAAUACUCCGCUCCGAACUUCUUCAGGACUCCGACUCGACCCACGAAACUUGCCAACACAUAGGACCUAACAAUCUCCCCCUUCGGCAAUUUCGUGACAAAACACACUCAAAACACAAACAUUACAUUUAAAGGAAAGACGAAGUUCAAUUGUCAUCACCAAAACAAUAAACCUAUCACAUGUAAUCCGAAUACAAAUUAAAACUCAAAAUACAUUCAAAACUCCUAAAACAGAGUCUAUGACUUAGACGCAACUAGGAGUCUUGAAGUCUUGAAAUCCUGCAAAACAUUCCACAAUAAUAUAAAGUUUUACAUUCAAUUGAUUCUUUUACAAUUCUCCCCCUUUGUUCAUCACUUCUCCCUUACAUUCAAUUGAUUCUUUUACCAUUCUCCCCCUUUGUUCAUCACUUCUCCCCCUUUGUUCGUGAACCUGUUCAUCACUUCUCCCCUUU
RNAcentral lists this long non-coding RNA (582 nucleotides) under Ananas comosus (pineapple). RNAcentral describes it as "long non-coding RNA (ACOM_LNC036423)". Lineage: Eukaryota; Viridiplantae; Streptophyta; Magnoliopsida; Poales; Bromeliaceae. The record is from RNAcentral.